AUAGUGGAUAGAGGCGCGGCGCUCAUGCGUACUGCGGGACAAGGCCAGGCAGCCGUCCCGGGGGAGAGGGUGCGCCGCCGAAGGAAGGACGGCCUGCCUGGGCCGCCGGUCCUGGGCCGUGGGAGAAGAUCCCACGGACUGUCACGAGAGUGGAGCGCUAUCCAGAGG
RNAcentral lists this non-coding RNA (168 nucleotides) under Firmicutes bacterium ASF500. Its description in RNAcentral is "Lysine riboswitch aptamer". It matches the Rfam family "Lysine riboswitch aptamer". Rfam says of the family: Riboswitches are metabolite binding domains within certain messenger RNAs that serve as precision sensors for their corresponding targets. Allosteric rearrangement of mRNA structure is mediated by ligand binding, and this results in modulation of gene expression. The record is from Rfam by way of RNAcentral. RNAcentral also lists the same sequence under 1 other name. Lineage: Bacteria; Bacillati; Bacillota.